CAUAGGUUAAUGAGGCGAACCGGGGGAACUGAAACAUCUAAGUACCCCGAGGAAAAGAAAUCAACCGAGAUUCCCCCAGUAGCGGCGAGCGAACGGGGAGGAGCCCAGAGCCUGAAUCAGUGUGUGUGUUAGUGGAAGCGUCUGGAAAGGCGCGCGAUACAGGGUGACAGCCCCGUACACAAAAAUGCACAUACUGUGAGCUCGAUGAGUAGGGCGGGACACGUGGUAUCCUGUCUGAAUAUGGGGGGACCAUCCUCCAAGGCUAAAUACUCCUGACUGACCGAUAGUGAACCAGUACCGUGAGGGAAAGGCGAAAAGAACCCCGGCGAGGGGAGUGAAAAAGAACCUGAAACCGUGUACGUACAAGCAGUGGGAGCCUCUUAAUGGGGUGACUGCGUACCUUUUGUAUAAUGGGUCAGCGACUUAUAUUCUGUAGCAAGGUUAACCGAAUAGGGGAGCCGAAGGGAAACCGAGUCUUAACUGGGCGUUAAGUUGCAGGGUAUAGACCCGAAACCUGGUGAUCUAGCCAUGGGCAGGUUGAAGGUUGGGUAACACUAACUGGAGGACCGAACCGACUAAUGUUGAAAAAUUAGCGGAUGACUUGUGGCUGGGGGUGAAAGGCCAAUCAAACCGGGAGAUAGCUGGUUCUCCCCGAAAGCUAUUUAGGUAGCGCCUCGUGAAUUCAUCUCCGGGGGUAGAGCACUGUUUCGGCAAGGGGGUCAUCCCGACUUACCAACCCGAUGCAAACUGCGAAUACCGGAGAAUGUUAUCACGGGAGACACACGGCGGGUGCUAACGUCCGUCGUGAAGAGGGAAACAACCCAGACCGCCAGCUAAGGUCCCAAAGUCAUGGUUAAGUGGGAAACGAUGUGGGAAGGCCCAGACAGCCAGGAUGUUGGCUUAGAAGCAGCCAUCAUUUAAAGAAAGCGUAAUAGCUCACUGGUCGAGUCGGCCUGCGCGGAAGAUGUAACGGGGCUAAACCAUGCACCGAAGCUGCGGCAGCGACACUAUGUGUUGUUGGGUAGGGGAGCG
This 1032-nucleotide ribosomal RNA is filed under the name Escherichia coli. RNAcentral's name for it is "partial 23S ribosomal RNA". It matches the Rfam family "Bacterial large subunit ribosomal RNA", at positions 165 to 1238 of the family's 2925-position model. Lineage: Bacteria; Pseudomonadati; Pseudomonadota; Gammaproteobacteria; Enterobacterales; Enterobacteriaceae. The record is from RNAcentral.